GAGGACUUAGCAGGACAAGAGGAAAACCAAGUGCAUUUCCACUUUGCCUUGUAAUGUCUGCUCCAUUUUUUUUUUUUUUAAUUUCUACGGAGAAUCCACUGAUGUACAUUGUGUCUUACUUUGUACAUAGUAUGCUAAGUUUUUGAUUAGCUACAGAAGUCACGGAAUUCCCAUUGCUAAUAUUUGAUUUCUAUACUGUGUUAACUGAAUGGCAGGAGCAAGGUGCAAUUGAUUGAUUGGUGCAUGACAGAAAGAGGAAGAAAUACAUUGUACUCUGUCAUUCUUUUGGGGAAGAAAGCACGCUUCUAACUUCUAAUUAUAUGUGCCAAAAGGAAAACGUGACCUCAGACUUCUAAAACACUUCCUUUGAAGUGUCGAAUUGGGAUAACUAUGUAAGUAGAAUCACCCUGUGGUCUGCUGCAUGAGACAGGCUGUACUUGAUAGUAUGUGUGAUUUAAAGACUGUUAAGCAGACGAACCACUGAACAGCUGAGGGUGGAAGGGACCUCUGGAGAUCACCUGGCCCAACCCCCUGCUCCAGCAGGGCCACCCAGAACAGGCUGCCCAGGACCACGUGGUGGCUUCUGAAGAUCUUCAAGGAGGAGACUGCAUGACUUCUCUGGGCAACCUGCACCAGUGCUCUGUCACCCACACAGCACAGAAGGGUUGCUGAUGUUCAGAGGGACCCUCCUGUCUUCCAGUUUGUGCCCACUGCCUCUUGUCCUGGCACUGGGCACCACAGAAAAGAGUCUGGCUCUGUCCUCUUUGCAACCUUCCUUCAGAUUCCAAGUAUUGGCAAAGAUACUGCGCCCUAUGUUGACUUCCUGUUCACUAAAGUUGCAGAAAGUAGCAGCGUGCUAAAAAGAUCAAACAGCCAAGGUUGCCAGACAAUGACAUUAAGGCAGCUGGAAUUACUGCUCAAGGAGAAAGUAUGUUGACCAGGGUGAUAGCACAAACCAUGUGCUGGUAUCAUAGGUCACUUCAGAUAAGUAGAUGGUGCUCUUGAUCUACUGCUAUCAAUUUAGUAACAUGCAUAAAUGGAUGUUGCCCUGUUGUAUGCUUAAAGUGUUGUUUUUGUUAUUAUCAUGCUAAAGUACGAAGUAUUUUAACUCUCCUCUCCUAAUCUAUGCUAUGAAUCCCUUUUUAGCAUCAAAAAGCUAAGUACUCUUCUCUUUCAAGCAGUCUCGUAACAAAUCUCUGGCUUAGGACUGGCAUAGUCCUACUGUGAUUCUAUUUCUUCAUUACUAGAUGCUUGUGGCUCGAGUAACAAUGCUUGUUUUAUAUAAGAAACUAGAUUCUCCACACCAGUACAAUUCCUGAAAUCAUUUAGCUCUUUGCAAGACUGGUACAAAACAUUCAGUCACAUCACAAGCAUAGUAUUUUAACUAUUUUGUACUCUUAAAAUUAUCCAUCCACCUGAGAGCUCAGGCUACUUAAAUCUCAGACAGGGUGGAACAGCAUCAAAAUACUUUUUUUAAUUGGGGAAGACGUGGAGGUAUGACUAUGGAAAACCUAGACUUAUUUAUUCCACAAACUGAGCCACAAAAACCUGUCCAUCAGUGUCAUGAUCUUAUUAUAUUUGGACAUUUUCAAAUUAACCUGUAACCUGAUGUCACAUAUCAUGUCUGACUGAGAGAGGGAGUUAGGAGAAUCUUAGCAAAUAGAGAUAGAGCGCUGAUGGUAUCA
Molecule: long non-coding RNA, 1685 nt
Filed under: Anas platyrhynchos platyrhynchos (common mallard)
Lineage: Eukaryota; Metazoa; Chordata; Aves; Anseriformes; Anatidae
Description: lncRNA (ENSAPLG00000026449.1)
Source: RNAcentral